Molecule: long non-coding RNA, 6314 nt
Organism: Malaya genurostris
Lineage: Eukaryota; Metazoa; Arthropoda; Insecta; Diptera; Culicidae
Exons: 2
Source: RefSeq, a predicted model, not a curated record
CGUAUCAGAACUAGUUGUCUAUUGCUAGUUGGGUAAAGAUAAACUAGAAAAUUGAAAUUUGAGAAUAAAUGUAUACUUUCGUGCAUUUUUCGUGGUAGAGGAGUUCUUAACUAAUUGUCUGCCCGAUGGAUCUAAAUUUCGAGUCUGAAAAACUACAAUAAGUUUGCCUAAAAUUGUGUAAUGAAACUAUUGACAGAACCGAGAUAAUCGUUCACAGCUAAAUCAGUUGAAAUUCCAUAGUUUCCAGUAAUAAGUAAUGACGGCGAAAUGGAAUCUGCGUUGUACGAGACUCCACUGUGCAACGAUCAUAUGCUAUUUAACUAUUCUAUAAAACAUGAUCAAAAUAUCAAUAGUUACAUUUGACACUGAAAUGAAAUUUUCAUGAAGGGUUUUUUUCAACAAUGAAAAAUUGGGCAGCUCAACCUGCUUCUAACUUCUGACACCCACUCCAACUCUCGACUGCUGUAGCCGGCUUUUAUCUGUAGCAGAUGAACAGAUGAUCUGUGUGAUACUCGUGACGUUCAUAUAUUACUGGCUAGGUUCCAGCCAGAGAUGCCAGGUAAAAAUUUCAAAUAUCUGCAGACAGGGUCUGUAAAUCUGAAAAAAAAAUCUGCAAUCAGCAAGUAUGUCUUGCUGGCAGCAAUUUCUCUAUAAAGUAUGACACGCAUAACUGACUUGGCGAGCAAAAAAAAAAAGGUCGCGGAAAUUUCAAAAGUCUGUAAAUAUAAACUAAAGUCUGCGAGAAUUUCAAAAGUCUGCAAAAAUCUGCGAGAAUUUCAAAAGUCUGCACAACAAAAAAUGUCUGCAGCACUAUACCCCAAAUCUGCAGAUUUACAGACAAAUCUGCAGACCUGGCAUCUCUGGUUCCAGCAGACCCUGUCAGCUUGGAGCGAUCGCAAUCUUCAGUUCAGCAACGCCAUCACACGGCGUCUCAUUCAACAUGUCAUGUCAAUUGUAUGGGUGCGCAGUGCUGCUAUUUUGGCGCGUACGAAUUUGAAAUUUCUCUCCCAUACUUCUAUGUAUACGUGAUUCGAUGCGGACUCGCCUGAGGGCGCCAUGGUCGCGAAAAAGGAUGUUGCCAAAGAUUUGUUCGGGAAAUAUGAGAGCUGGAUAUCUUGUUAAUAUGAUAUCUUUGGUUCCAGGCAACGUGACCAUUUUAGUGCGUAAGUUAAUGUGUUUUCGUAAGUCAAAGCAACAAGUUACGUUUUCUAAACUAGUGCUUGGCAUUUGCGCUGCCUAUUUGUAUGAGAAGAGUGAUCCUAAUCUAAAAAAAACUGUUAUAAUCCACCUAGUGGUGUAAUGAUGCCUUUCUCAUAUCAAUCAUACUAUCAUCUAAAAUACUGUGGUAUUCUUCAAAAUAAUUCUCUUAUAUUCUAAAAAAAAUAACCGAAAUCGGUUUGCUUGACCGUCUACUGAUAAAAACGCAUUUUUCGCCCUUUUCAGUGAUUGUAUAAAAUUUUUAACACACUUUACCCUAUAUUUCCGGAUCCAGAAUUCAGAUUCGGAUGAAAUUCAGGAAUUACGUAUUGGACCACAGGACCUUUCAUUUGAACCUAAGUGUGAAAAUCGGUUGCGCCAUCUAUGAGAAAAGUUAGAACGCAUAUUUUCAUAUUUUUGCUCAUUUUACCCCAUAAUUCCGGAACUGGAAGUCGGAUUCAAACAAUAUUCAAGAAUUUUGUAUGGGACUACAAGACCUUUCAUUUGAAUUUAAGUUUGUGAAAAUCGGUUUAGCCAUCUCUGAGAAAAGUUAGUGCACUUUUUUUCACAUUUUUUUGCACAUUUUACCCCACAAUUCCGGAACCGGAAGUCGGAUCGAAAUAAUAUUCAGGAAUUUUGUAUGGGACGAUAAGACCUUUCAUUUGUGAAAAUCGGUUCAGCCAUCUCCGAGAAAACUUAGUGCCAAAAAACGUUACAUAUACACAUACGCACAUACACACAGACAUUUUGCGUACUCGACGAACUGAGUCAAAUGGUAUAUGACACACGGCCCUCCGGGCCUCGGUUCAAAAGUCGGUUUUCCCAGUGAUUGCAUAACCUUCCUAUAUGAGAAAGGCAAAAAUGGAAUAUUGUGGUCUUCCACAUUAAAAAAAUGAAACCGAAGCACUUUAACAAUUCCAAAAUAUUUAUUUUUUACUAAAAAACCCUGAGUGGUACCAAAAUUGGAAGCAUGAAAAUAUAUGCUUAAAAGCCAAGACAUACAUAUUUAAAAGAUUGUAAACCUUCCCAACAUCUGAUUUUUUUUUAAUUUUUUAGUCAAAAUUCAGAUAAAAUGAAAAUUAAUAGAACCACCCUACCAAAAAAUAUGUUUCCGACAAAAUUACCUGAAAAACUAUUUCUGAAUAAGCACGUCACGUCGAGGUGAUUUGGGUUUCAUCCAAGGAAAAAUUUUACGCUUGUCUCCUGGAACGAAUAACACGUGAAACAAUGUUGCACCAUCGAGGAAAUCCUUUUGAAAUGAAAAUUUCAAGCUUACACCCCUGACAUAUUAGAGUCGCAAAAAAAUUCUUUCGAAAUUAGAGAUUGUUACAAAAAAAAUAUCAAUGUGGAUUUCGAUCCGUCGACUUAUUUGUUGUCAGCGAUAUAAAAUUACACCGAUUAAAAUAAAUAUAGACUCUGAACGUUUUCCGUGAAAAACAAUUUAAAUUAUUAUAUGAGCGCGAGCGCAAACGAGCGCUUUCUAUUGAAACGCUGCAACAAAUUUUUUUGUCACGGUUUUAAAAAAAUGCAAUUUUUAUCGAUUCUCAUACGCCACAGAUUUUGCUGAAAAUGGAAAGAAUCGAAGAUUUUCUGUAGGACUUUAUUCCACGAAUCGAGAAUAUUUAUUUUUCAAAAUUUUUCUCGUCUUUUUGUAAAUUAAAAAUGAUAGAAAUAAUACACUUUUCAUUGCAUUAUCGUUUUAAGUACAUGUACAAACUGUCGUGUACAAUAAUUGAAAAAUAUAUUUAUUAUUAUAGUCUGUUACAUAAGAGCGUGGUCACUGUUGUGAGAAAAUCAAAAGACUCAACAUGAAAAUAUUUUUGAAUAUUGAUUUAUUAGAUCAAAAACUUGCAUGCGAAUACAUUAAUAGCAAGUCUAAUCCAAGUAAUGGACAUUGAAUCGAUGAUUCAGUGUAAGUUACCAAAAAUAUUUUUUGGUUCAUUUUUCUGAAAACCAAUUUUUCGAAGUUCAUGAACACGAUCCAGCAAAACUACUUAACCGAUUCUUUUCCAAACUGGAACAUACUUUUUUGGUAUAAAAUGCCUCCCCUCUACGUCGUUGAAAUUUUGCCUUUAUCAUAUUACAGUUGUUUUUCACCUCAAAAUUGGCGGAAAUUUUAACGUAAGAAGGCGAUUUUAGCUUAAAUAUGCCACGGUGAUGAAAUCAAAAUAAUCAAAUGGUUUUUGAUUCAAAUUAUCCCCUACUCCCCGCUUAACCUUGUUGGUUGAAGUGUUAAAAAUUAUUCGAGAGAAAAUCUCAGGAAUUCUUUUCUUUAAUUCAAAUUAUUCAUCACCAAAACACUAAAAUAUAUACUGGAAUUGAAAAUGGAAAAACCAUUACUAUUUACGCUAUGAGACGCACUGAUAUAAUCCACUUUUUCCGAAGUUCCGCUUUUAACAGUUGGAGUGUAAAUGUAUAAAAUGCAGACUUCCGGUACUGCGUGAAUUACUCCUGACAACACAACAAAAGCGCUCGCCUAAAGAUUUUCUCCUUUUUUGCAAAUUUUUGAGCUCAAUUAAGCGUUGUAAGAAACUAAUCUGAAACAUCUGAAUUUGGAAACUAGAAAUUCAUAAUAACAUAAUAUUUAAAAAAGAAGCAUUUUAUGAGAUUCAUAAGAGCUGAUCGGAUUUGUCAACUGAUAAAGUUGUAAUGUAUUGUUUUGAGUACCCAAAUUUCUAGAACUCGUAUUUUUUAUGGGAACUUCCAAGUAUCUGAGUUCUAAAAAGUCUUCAAGGAAUUACUUAGAUGUAUUAGUCGACAACAACAAGUAUCACAUUCAGCAUUGAAAUCAAAAAAAAAUAAACAAUUUUGCUAUAGGACCAUUUUGGUAAUGAAUUGAACGACAAAAUUGACCGUGUUAAACAGCAUGCUCAAACAUGUCUCCCUCAUAUUAGUCAAUUAAAAAUACUCAUGGUUUAUAACUAUCCACAGAAAAGGGCUGCUUUACUAGCGAACAAAAUGUGCCGUAAGCCCACAGCACUCAAUCACUAAAAAUAUUCCUUAUUUCUAUGUGUCGGUUUUGCACGAUACUCUUUGUGCGAUGAUUCGUUCAAUUCAUGUGUUUGGAAUUUUGCGUGCCUUAUUUUGGCACUGAAUUUUACCUUAAUGCUCGUUCAUAGCAAAACUUAAACUUUAGCGGCCCUUUCAUGAGAAUUAUUAAUGUCAUUUUAAUUGAUUACUAAAGAAAUGACAUUCAAAACUUGUAUGUAGAAUCCAUCAUUACUGCCCUUACACGUUCAUUAAAAUGACAUUACAUUUUAGUAAUGACUUUUCUAAUCAAGGAUGGUUUUUAUCGUAUCAAAGAACGUUCACUGGCAACUUUUCAAUGAUUGAAUCAGUGCCAUCAAAAGCGGCCCUUACACGAGCAUUAUUAUUGUCAUUUUUAAUGAUGUCUAAGUAAUGAUGUAUUUUAAAUUUGAUAGAAAUCUCGUCAUUACUGCACCAUUACACGUUCAUAAAAAUGACAUUAUUUUUUAGUAAUGACACUUUUAAUGAUAGUGUAAGGUCCGCUAAAGAGAGUUGGAAAUCAUCGCAACAACAAAAACCCGGCAUGGCUCAUUUAACAUAGAAUCGACACCAGUGCGAGAGCGAAUUUCUCUCGAUGACAUUUCUGAGAAUCAAAGGUUAGCACGCUGCUGUGGGGAUCUUCUCUGAUGCAACAAACGGUCGCUUAUUCUCGUUUCGCGAUCCGAAUUUAUACAGGCAGUUGAUAAUUGCGAUAAAAUCAUUUUACUAUUGCCGCUUAUUCUAACUAUGUGCAUAUAAUCUUUGUAUAAGUUGUGUCUAUGAAAAUUUCUGUGAAUACUCCACACAAGGGUUUUGAAAUAUUGCAGCCUAGUAUGAGAAUCAUCAAGUUGAAUCAUCGAUUCCAUUUCCUACGAUAAUUGUCAACUUGCGAUUCUCUCUUGGGAAAUUCCACACAGCAACGAUCAUUAUCAGACUGUAUUUUUUUUAAGAGCCGUGAAAUACUCAGAGUAAGAAGUGGAGCGAAGGAAUGUAGAAAAAUUCUCUCGUGGUUCAUGCAUUGAGAGACUCGAGUUCUUGUAGCAUCUUCUACCGGAUUGAAAAUGUUGUAUACUAUAUAGAUAGCAAUAUAGCAGCUUCUGUCAAAUUUUCGGCAAUCACCAACACUGGAACUUCUAAUCAUCGUGUAAGGGCCGCUUUUGAGUUACUUUUGGACGUAUCAUACUACUGAAACAGAGGUCCAUUGUGGAGCCAUUUUUAAUAUGAGGAGUUGGAGCCCCAUUGGACUAGUUUUACUGGAGAAUUUUGGAAGUUUUUAUCCACUUUUUUUUAAUAAACACUACUGUAACAUAAGUAAAAACAACAACAAACCGUCCCUGCAAACUGAACGAUUAUUUCGAGCAGCAUGCCGUUCAACAAACGCUUCACGACCAACAAAAUAUAAUCGCUUCCUAAGUAGGUGAUAAUUGCAAUUAUUUGUGUAAUAUUUUCGAUAGUCUACAUAUUUAUUACAUUGUUAAACUCAUGCACUUAAAAGCAUGUUAAACAAGGAGGUGCUUUAGUGGUUCGAAUACCUUCUGAAACUAUCAUAUUCUAUUAUUAUUCGGAUACCUUAUGAAACUCAAGAAAUUAUCAUAUACUUAUUCUCCUCUUUAAACAUUUAAGUCAAUUAUAAAUUAAAUAAUUUCCAAUAAACGUCUUUGAAACCAAAAAGUUUUCAAAUCAUUUAAUAAACAUUUCCAAUCGUAUGGAAAUUAAUCAACAUGUUCUGAAACACUCUCCGAAAAAAAUUUCGAAAUCAUGCAAAUAUUCGAAGGCUUCACAGAAAGUCUUUUACUAAAUGUAUCAUUUGAUUGCAAAUUACUUUCACAUUAGAAAGGAAAAAUGUUAAAAAUCGAUUGAACCGUUUUCAAUGCAAGCAUGCAACAUUGAACUGACGUAUCCAAACCACUACAUUUCGUUUGAGGAUGUGUAAACAAAAAUGGGAUGUUUCGUUCGUACGAACGAAUCUCGAAUACGCGAAAUAUUCGAAACUAAGAUGGCAUACAUUCGCAGAGAUCUACCCAAAAUCAACUGAAAUUUUUUGUACACUUUCCUAAACAAACUAUUAUAGCCAUUUUAUAAAAUAAAGUAAGGAUGAAUUUUAGUCGUCA